Molecule: ribosomal RNA, 682 nt
Filed under: Burkholderia sp. Ms77
Lineage: Bacteria; Pseudomonadati; Pseudomonadota; Betaproteobacteria; Burkholderiales; Burkholderiaceae
Description: bacterial SSU rRNA
Rfam family: Bacterial small subunit ribosomal RNA
Source: RNAcentral
GGCGAGUGGCGAACGGGUGAGUAAUACAUCGGAACGUGUCCUGGAGUGGGGGAUAGCCCGGCGAAAGCCGGAUUAAUACCGCAUACGCUCUGUGGAGGAAAGCGGGGGAUCUUCGGACCUCGCGCUCAAGGGGCGGCCGAUGGCAGAUUAGCUAGUUGGUGGGGUAAAGGCCUACCAAGGCGACGAUCUGUAGCUGGUCUGAGAGGACGACCAGCCACACUGGGACUGAGACACGGCCCAGACUCCUACGGGAGGCAGCAGUGGGGAAUUUUGGACAAUGGGGGCAACCCUGAUCCAGCAAUGCCGCGUGUGUGAAGAAGGCCUUCGGGUUGUAAAGCACUUUUGUCCGGAAAGAAAACCUCUGGGUUAAUACCCUGGGGGGAUGACGGUACCGGAAGAAUAAGCACCGGCUAACUACGUGCCAGCAGCCGCGGUAAUACGUAGGGUGCGAGCGUUAAUCGGAAUUACUGGGCGUAAAGCGUGCGCAGGCGGUUCGCUAAGACCGAUGUGAAAUCCCCGGGCUUAACCUGGGAACUGCAUUGGUGACUGGCGGGCUAGAGUAUGGCAGAGGGGGGUAGAAUCCACGUGUAGCAGUGAAAUGCGUAGAGAUGUGGAGGAAUACCGAUGGCGAAGGCAGCCCCCUGGGCCCAUACUGACGCUCAUGCACGAAAGCGUGGGGAGC